UGUCAGAGGAAGGGGAUUGUGAUGAGAGGAAAGGCCAGGGGACUGGGACACUUUUUCCUUUGUGAUUAUAAAAUUGAACAGACAAGGUUGCUUCAAGCUAGGAAGUUGCUGCUGGAAGUAUUUAGCUUUGCUGGGGCUGGGGGGCUUGACACCCACAGCCUUAUACUCCUUCCUGAGUUUCAUCCCAUCUCACAGGUUCUCCCCAACUUCAUGGCCUUUGCCUAUCUAGGAGCCUCAGACACAUAGGCUAGACAAAGGCCUCAUCCACAUGAUGCGCAGGUAUGGGUCUAGCUCCUGCAUGAGCUCAACAUCUGGGCCUGUCUGAGCUGCACAGCUGAAGAAAGAGACAAGAUGUCUAUAGCCUCACCCACUUGGUAAGAGUUGGACUUUACAAUGGAUGCCCUUUCUUGCACUCCAGAGUAGUUAGAGGUAAAAAACAAGCAAUAUCUGCUGUGGGCUCUUGGCUUUUCUGUGGGUCCCUCCAUACACUACCAGGAACUGCUUCCUUUUUCCUUCCUGCAGAGGAAUCAGGCAUGGCUGAGAAAGACAUUCGAGUUGUGCAGGUGGUGAUGAUUUGUGCUUUAGAGGAUGGAGGAGGCCUGCAGGGAAGGCGGAGCUGCGGGGAACACUCUCUAGGAGGGAGAGUAACAUGCCUACAAACACCUGGGAAGGUGAGGGCUGCCUCUCCUGCUUGGGCUGGACCUGGGACCAGCUCUCAGAGAUGGGAUUGGAGGGGCAGAAGAAAUGCCCCCAGAAAGAGGGAGGAAGCAGCAUGUUGGCAUCCUUCUCUCUCAGCUCUGGAAUGGGUUCUUCCUAAGCACAAAUGUUGUGUUCAGGGACACUCAGCCCACACUCAGCUGGUGACCCUUUAAUGUCCAAGCAUCCACAGGCAGGCACUGGCUGCCAUGGCUGUUUCCCCAUUGCCUCCUCAUGACUUCUGCCUCCUCCUCAGGAACCAGCUAGAUGUCAGGGCCGGGAGAGGUGUUAGACCCUCUAGGAAAAGAAAGCAGAGCCAGGCUGGCACGUUCUCUCUGAGACGACAAGAGUCCCCAUCCCCUUGUGAUGUCAUCAUCCUAUCCCGUUGUUCUGAAAUGAUGAAUUCCACAAAGGAAUUCCUAUCCAUGGCCCCUGCUUGGAACUAGACAGGAACAUUCCUCCAGCCUCCAUCAUCCUCCCCUUCCCCUACUCUGAGGAAUCUUCUCACCUUUCAUUAGACUCUAAGUUCCUUGGAGAGUCAGUACUCACGGGGAGUACUUUUAGGAUCAACACUUGUGGACGGGAGAAGAUGGAAGCAGGACUGGGUAGAAGAAGAAGCUGGGCUGCAAUGAAGUCCCAUUGAAGACCUCAGCUGACCUUGCAUGGAGCCUGGUACUAGGAUAUUCCUCCAGAGUUGCUCUGAGUUAGGAUAAGAGAGCUGGGCCUUUAUACGACUAGGUUGAUGAGUCCAAUGAGAUGUGGUUUGUUACCAGAUACGACCUAAGCAAGGGCACUCCCUUCAGCUGAGACAAUCGCAAAUAGAGCUGAUGCUGAGGACCAUCUCCACAGCCAGGUGCCUCUCAGCAUCCAUUACACAAUUCAUGGGAACAACUUGUUCCUGUGAAGACUUGGGCUCAGGACAUUAUUCACUCACUCAUAGUCAGGUCCUCAAAGCUAUCCCAGCUCACCCACAUAACCCAAAGUUUUCUGAUCCCACUUGGUCUGACCUGGAUUUUACUAAUGGGAAAAGUUUAGGGUGAGCAUCACGGGGGAUUGAGAAGCCACUUCCUCUGGGAUCUGAGUGCCUAGAUCUGGGGUGAGCUCUGGUAGUGGACAGAGGAAGGACGAGAGGAAAGGAAACCUCAGGCUUUUGAAGUGAGAUAAAACUUUGGAAUAUCAACAAAGUCUCCCUACCGCACAUUUCCUUGCAUUGUUCCCCACGGGGUACAAGAGGCAAAUAAAACCUAGCUGAGGACAAGACGUUAAUUUUUUCUAAUAGACUUAAUUUUUUAAGGACAGCUUUAGAUUUACAGAAAAAUUGAGCCCUAUCAUUAGCAUCUUACAUUGAUAUGAUACAUUAUUAUAAUCAAUGAACCAAUAUUGAUACAUUAUGAUUAAUCAAAGUUCAUAGUUUAUUUAGAUCUUUUCUUUUUACCUAAUGUCGUUUUUCUCUUCCAGCAUCCCAUCCAGGAUACCUGUUACAUUUACUUGUCAUAUCUCCUCAAGCUUCUCUUGGCUAUGACAGUUUUUUAGACUUUCCUUGAUUUUGAUGACCUUGACAGUUUUGAGGAGUUCUGGGCCCGAUGUUGCAGAAUGCCUCCUUAUUGAAAUUUGUCUGAUGUUUUCCUCAUGAUUAGAUUGGGGUUGUGAGUUUUGGGGGGAAGGUAAUAGAGGAAAAGUGUCAUCUUCAUCACAUCAUAUUAAAGGUACAUAUUAGUGACAUGA
Molecule: long non-coding RNA, 2421 nt
Filed under: Homo sapiens (human)
Lineage: Eukaryota; Metazoa; Chordata; Mammalia; Primates; Hominidae
Description: HSALNT0399159
Source: RNAcentral